RNAcentral lists this unclassified non-coding RNA (118 nucleotides) under uncultured fungus. Its description in RNAcentral is "sequence contains ITS1". Lineage: Eukaryota; Fungi. The record is from RNAcentral.
AUCGCGAGGUCGAGGUCGCCGUCGUUGUCAAAAUCGGCAUACGCAGCACCACGGCCUACGACGGGCCUUUGCAGAGCGCGGCCUAGCUUUGUGGAAACGUCUUCGAACUUCUUGCCUC